GCUCGGUUAGCUCAAUCGGUAGAGCGUGAGACUCUUAAUCUCAAGGUUGCGGGUUCGACCCCCGCAUCGGGCU
Molecule: transfer RNA, 73 nt
Filed under: Nemania sp. NC0429
Lineage: Eukaryota; Fungi; Ascomycota; Sordariomycetes; Xylariales; Xylariaceae
Description: tRNA-Lys
Rfam family: tRNA
About the family: Transfer RNA (tRNA) molecules are approximately 80 nucleotides in length. Their secondary structure includes four short double-helical elements and three loops (D, anti-codon, and T loops).
Source: RNAcentral